CCUACGGGAGGCAGCAGUGGGGAAUAUUGGACAAUGGGGGGAACCCUGACCCAGCGACGCCGCGUGAGUGAAGCAGUAUUUCGGUUUGUAAAGCUCUUUUAUCAGGGACGAAAGAAAUGACGGUACCUGACUAAGAAGCCCCGGCUAACUCCGUGCCAGCAGCCGCGGUAAUACGUAGGGGGCAAGCGUUAUCCGGAUUAACUGGGUGUAAAGGGAGCGUAGGCGGCGAUGCAAGUCAGUAGUGAAAGGCCGGGGCCCAACCCCUGGACUGCUUUGGAAACUGUAUGGCUGGAGGGCAGGAGAGGUAAGUGGAAUUCCUAGUGUAGCGGUGAAAUGCGGAGAUAUUAGGAGGAACACCAGUGGCGAAGGCGGGUUGCUGGACUGUAACUGACGUUGAGGCGCGAAAGCGUGGGGAGCAAACAGGAUUAGAUACCCUUGUAGUC
This 443-nucleotide ribosomal RNA is filed under the name uncultured bacterium. RNAcentral describes it as "partial 16S ribosomal RNA". It matches the Rfam family "Bacterial small subunit ribosomal RNA", at positions 338 to 795 of the family's 1533-position model. The record is from RNAcentral.